This 200-nucleotide ribosomal RNA is filed under the name uncultured bacterium. RNAcentral describes it as "partial 16S ribosomal RNA". It matches the Rfam family "Bacterial small subunit ribosomal RNA", at positions 8 to 221 of the family's 1533-position model. The record is from RNAcentral.
AGAGUUUGAUCCUGGCUCAGAUUGAACGCUGGCGGCAUGCCUUACACAUGCAAGUCGAACGGCAGCGCGGGGGCAACCCUGGCGGCGAGUGGCGAACGGGUGAGUAAUAUAUCGGAACGUACCCAUGAGUGGGGGAUAACGCAGCGAAAGUUGCGCUAAUACCGCAUAAGCUCUAUGGAGGAAAGUGGGGGACUCGCAAG